This 484-nucleotide ribosomal RNA is filed under the name uncultured bacterium. RNAcentral describes it as "partial 16S ribosomal RNA". It matches the Rfam family "Bacterial small subunit ribosomal RNA", at positions 29 to 507 of the family's 1533-position model. The record is from RNAcentral.
AUUGAACGCUGGCGGCAGGCCUAACACAUGCAAGUCGAGCGGAUGAAGGGAGCUUGCUCCUGGAUUCAGCGGCGGACGGGUGAGUAAUGCCUAGGAAUCUGCCUGGUAGUGGGGGAUAACGUCCGGAAACGGGCGCUAAUACCGCAUACGUCCUGAGGGAGAAAGUGGGGGAUCUUCGGACCUCACGCUAUCAGAUGAGCCUAGGUCGGAUUAGCUAGUUGGUGGGGUAAAGGCCUACCAAGGCGACGAUCCGUAACUGGUCUGAGAGGAUGAUCAGUCAAAGGGGAACGGAAACACGGUCCAGACCACUCGGGGGGGAGGCAGGGGGGAUUAUUGAAAAAGGGGGGAAGGCCGGACCCAGCAUUGCGGUGGGUGGAAGGAAGGUUUUGGGAUUAAAAACAAUUUUAGGUGGGGAGAAAGGGAAGAAAUUUAUUCCUUGCUUUUUUGAAGUUAACAAAAAAAAAAAGCCCGGGCAAACUCCGUG